RNAcentral lists this transfer RNA (64 nucleotides) under Megalophasma granulatum. RNAcentral describes it as "tRNA-Trp". Lineage: Eukaryota; Metazoa; Arthropoda; Insecta; Phasmatodea; Lonchodidae. The record is from RNAcentral.
AAGGAUUUAAGUUAAAUAAACUAAUAACCUUCAAAGUUAUCAAUAAAUAAUAAUUUAAGCCUUA